GGACGAACGCUGGCGGCGUGCUUAACACAUGCAAGUCGAACGCUGAAGCCCAGCUUGCUGGGUGGAUGAGUGGCGAACGGGUGAGUAACACGUGAGUAACCUGCCCCCUUCUUUGGGAUAACGCCCGGAAACGGGUGCUAAUACUGGAUAUUCACUGAUCYUCGCAUGGGGGUUGGUGGAAAGGUUUUUUCUGGUGGGGGAUGGGCUCGCGGCCUAUCAGCUUGUUGGUGGGGUGAUGGCCUACCAAGGCUUUGACGGGUAGCCGGCCUGAGAGGGUGACCGGUCACAUUGGGACUGAGAUACGGCCCAGACUCCUACGGGAGGCAGCAGUGGGGAAUAUUGCACAAUGGGCGAAAGCCUGAUGCAGCGACGCCGCGUGAGGGAUGACGGCCUUCGGGUUGUAAACCUCUUUCGCUCAUGGUCAAGCCGCAGCUUUGGGUUGUGGUGAGGGUAGUGGGUAAAGAAGCGCCGGCUAACUACGU
This 482-nucleotide ribosomal RNA is filed under the name Actinomyces sp. 'ARUP UnID 74'. RNAcentral's name for it is "bacterial SSU rRNA". It matches the Rfam family "Bacterial small subunit ribosomal RNA", at positions 27 to 506 of the family's 1533-position model. The record is from RNAcentral. Lineage: Bacteria; Bacillati; Actinomycetota; Actinomycetes; Actinomycetales; Actinomycetaceae.